GAUGAACGCUGGCGGCGUGCUUAACACAUGCAAGUCGAACGGCAGCACGGGAGCAAUCCUGGUGGCGAGUGGCGAACGGGUGAGUAAAGUAUCGGAACGUGCCCAGUCGUGGGGGAUAACGUAGCGAAAGUUACGCUAAUACCGCAUACGAUCUACGGACGAAAGCGGGGGAUCGCAAGACCUCGCGCGAUUGGAGCGGCUGAUAUCAGAUUAGGUAGUUGGUGGGGUAAAGGCUCACCAAGCCGACGAUCUGUAGCUGGUCUGAGAGGACGACCAGCCACACUGGGACUGAGACACGGCCCAGACUCCUACGGGAGGCAGCAGUGGGGAAUUUUGGACAAUGGGCGCAAGCCUGAUCCAGCCAUGCCGCGUGCAGGAUGAAGGCCUUCGGGUUGUAAACUGCUUUUGUACGGAACGAAAAGGUUUGGCCUAAUAAGCUGGACCCAUGACGGUACCGUAAGAAUAAGCACCGGCUAACUACGUGCCAGCCGCCGCUGUAA
Molecule: ribosomal RNA, 500 nt
Filed under: uncultured bacterium
Lineage: Bacteria
Description: partial 16S ribosomal RNA
Rfam family: Bacterial small subunit ribosomal RNA
Source: RNAcentral